RNAcentral lists this ribosomal RNA (840 nucleotides) under Triticum aestivum (bread wheat). Its description in RNAcentral is "partial small subunit ribosomal RNA". Lineage: Eukaryota; Viridiplantae; Streptophyta; Magnoliopsida; Poales; Poaceae. The record is from RNAcentral.
AUGCCACCUUCUGUGCACGACACGAAAGGCCUGCCGUUCAUGAAGCAUGGUUGUGUCUUCAGUGCGCACCGCCGGAUGAACGACAUGCUGGGGCACGCUAUCCCUGAUUUAUGCCGCUUCAGCUUGGAUGAGUCUCCAUCGUGUGGAACCAGACUAGAAAGCUGCGACAAUGAUUCCUGUUGCCCACCGCUAUGGAUCGUUCCAUCCAUGAAGAACACCUGGGACUGGAACCUGGAGGAUGACAUUAGACGCAAAUGCGCCGGCCUUCAUAAUUCCAGGACCUGGAAUCACACCAGCCGAUCGAUGGUGUCGAAGAAGGAUUGGCCGGUGCUUCCGGCUGGCGUCAAGUUCGAUCCCACGGAUCAGGAGCUGAUCGAGCACCUUGAGGCCAAAAUGAGUGCUGACAGCGCGAGAUCUCACCCUCUCAUCGAUUUGUUCAUACCAACCAUCGACAGCGAGCACGACAUAUGCUACACCCAUCCUGAGAAACUUCCAGGUAUCACACUGAGUGGCCUAAGCAAGCAUUUCUUCCAGCGCAAUUCCAGGGUGUUCAAAAGGGGCACGUGGAAGCGUCGCAAGAUACAGUCGGAGUGCGGCAUGCACGCGAUGUGGCACAACACCGGCAAUACCUUGCCGGUGAUGGUCAACGGCCGGCAGACGUGCAGCAAAAAGGUUCUGGUGCUGCACACCAACAAGAACUUCGACCAGCAGAGGACCAACUGCGUGAUGCACCAGUACCACCUCGGGGACCUGGAGCAAGAGAAGGAGCGGGAGCUGGUCCUCUGCAAGAUUUUCUACCAGACGAACACUAGGGCCAGGAGUAAAAAGAUUAUAAGUUAG